This is a long non-coding RNA of Bombus terrestris (buff-tailed bumblebee), 3085 nucleotides long. RefSeq lists it as uncharacterized. The transcript is spliced from 4 exons. The record is from RefSeq and is a predicted model, not a curated record. NCBI's taxonomy places the organism in Eukaryota, Metazoa, Arthropoda, Insecta, Hymenoptera, Apidae.
UUUGAAUAUACCUGUCAUUUUCAUAUCUCCUUUUAACUAAACUAAAUAUUUAGAAAUCCUAUAAUUUGUACACUUCUAUUUGUGAAUAAGAUCGAUGAAAUUAAAGCGUAACUAUGCUUUCAAUAAUGGCUUCGAUGUAUUGCUCACCAUUAUGGCGGAUUAACGUCUCUAAGUGAUCGACCUUAAUCACUAAAUGGCAGCCGCGAUUCAGUGGUAGAGCCUUACACAUGACGGACGUUGCAAGCGCUUCUAAGACGUCUAUUGUGAAACGUUUCCAAUAGCAUCGGUUACGACGACGGUGAAAUCCGAAUAGAAAUAUAUAUCGCGUAUCGCUUCAGCCUGACAUGUCUUAAAAUAGAAUCACAAUUUUUCGUUCUUUAAAAAAACAAAAAAAGUCUAUAAAAAUUAUAUGCAAAUAAAAUAGAUAAAUGGAUAAAUGGUUGUACAAAUGUAUAAAACAGAUAUUACAAAUAUACGUAAAUAAAUUAUAUAUUUAUAAAUUGUUUGUUUAAAUAUCUGUUUGUUUAAAUAAAUAAAAGGGAUAUUUACGACUUACAAUGAACGUAGUCCUGUUUUUAGUUUUAAACAAAGCAAAAACGGAUAACAACUUUUUAAAAUGUAAAACUCAACGCAACAGUGGUUUUUUUUAAUUAAUCAAUAACGUUCAAAGUUAAUUAAUUUAGAGUGGUUUGUACAUUUUGUAUGCUCGCCGUAUUUUAACGUUUGAUGUGUAACGUUUGAUGUAGUACUUGAUGCCCGAAAAAUCGAAAAACAAUUAAAUUUGAUCGUUUCGUCGAAUUUACAAGUGUGUAUAUUCGUGUGAAAUCCUAUGUGCUUGUGUAUGCUGAUGUGAAAGGCGGUAAUAUAUUUUUCUUUUUUCGAUUAUUGUUGUCAACUUUUGUGUGGAAUAAAUCAAUUCCGUGAAUAGAAGUGCAAUCAAUACAGCUUACUAUGAAAUGAUAGCACAACAACAGUACAUAUCGCCAUUGACGUCAGCUUCACAAAAUUUCUCGAAUAUCGAGGUUGUCCAUUUGGGUUAAGAAUUUAUUUCCACAAAUAUUGCCACAAGCACGAAUAUCUUAUGGAAAUCCACUGUAUUUCCACUGUAAUUUUUAAUAAUCAGAUUCCAUAUCGUAUGCUACGAUUCGAGGAAAAUCCGCAGCUAAUUAUUAUCUUUGCUGCCUUUAAAUACCAUAAAUAGUCGUCCGUAAAUUUUAAAUGAUUUUCUGUGCCAUACUUAUAUUGUGUAUUUUAGUCUUAAGGUGCGGGUCGUGUUCAAUUAAUUGAAAGUGAUGAAACUGUAAUGGGUCACGAUAGUCAAAUAUUAAAAAUGGUCUCGUUGGCUACAUUUAAAAUCUUUACGAGAUAUAUAUGCAUAGUACGUUGCUACUAGCAACGGGUAGCGAUGAGCAAUAGAGAACAGUAGCUUCCUUAUCUCGUCGUGAUUAUGUACAUACCAGUAAUGCACAGUACUCGUACUGAAUAUCUUACAACAUCUACAUAGAUUUUCAGAUUUGUUUCGAAUAUUACCAGCAUAACCAUGAUAGUAGAAUUCUGUUACAGUAUUAAUUCUAUAGUGCCGUUAUGCAUAAUACAGCCCUAAAAUGUUUCUACAAAUAUACGAAUAUUUUCGUCAGCUACUAUAUUCCAACCAUGGCUUAUUAUGAAAGGAAAUAUAUAACGAAAUUACUUGUUUUUUUUUUUUUAGACUAAAUUAGUUUAAUUUGAAUAAUUUUAGUAAUUGUGUAGGAUCGAACAACAACUUAUCAUUAGCUUCACUCGAGACUUGAUUGCACGUAGCAACGUAAUUGCGUUGGAACUGAGGGUAGAAAACAAUGUCAACCGUUAGACGCGUCUGUCUGGCGAAUGUGUAACGCGUGAAUAAUAGAUGCCGGCAAUCACGUGAACCCUACUUAUAGCUGUUUCGGCUUAUAUCGUAGCAUUCAACCUAGGGUAUAACGAUAAGGAUCAUUAAAAGUUCAAAGAAGUUCGGCUGAUCAGCCUCAUUUUGUUCCAUUUUUUAAUCAAGCGAUGAAUCGACAAAUUGUACAGAUUUCGAUGGUUAUCACAGUUCUCUGGGAAUUUUAAAGCGCGGUUCGUCGAAUUUAGUCGGAUUGGCUACAGACUCUUUUACGAGCAGCUUGAAACUCGAUCUAGUUUCGAGAAAAUGAAAAAUUCGUUUUAUCUCUUUGUUUCCCUGUUCCUUCCUUCCUCUUUUCUUUGCUUUUUACAUUGCGUUAAGACCGGCUAAAUAAUAUUGAUUGCCAUGGACGUUGGCUGGUUUAAAAUCACUGACAUCGACGAUAACAAAAAUAUUUCUGGUCUACGCACUCCAGUGCCCGCACAACUUAUAUUAAAACACCUGAUUUUCCCAUUCUACAGCAACAAAUUUCCUGAUCCUUUACAACCAUGAAGGACUUGUAUGCGAAAAUACUUGCCACGAUCAUCUGUUUGCAGACUAUUUUCGUCACUAUCUUCCCGUUAGGGGCUGCGUCUUUAAGAGGAAACUGUACUGAUCUCGAAGGAAAAGUUGUCUCGCAUGGAAUGAUGUAUGUGCCGGGACCUUCGAUUUGCAGUCAAUGCUUCUGUUACCAUUCGGAGCCAAAAUGGUGCCAGGCUAUCUUCUGUUCACCUCCUUUGAGCUGCAAGAAAUUCCGCAUUGGACGCCGAUGUUGCGAGUUCCAGUGCGUGGAUGAGGUUGACACAGGCUAUUGGUUUGGAUCUGAUGUGGUUAUUGUGAAUCGUUCAUCUAAACUUGAAAAACAUAGUGUAUUAUGGAUGCUGAGUUUAGUGAUAGUAAUUGUAGUAUUUUAAUUUCUCAAUAAAGAUUCCGAUGGCGCUGUGGACAAAAUUCGUAGCUUAUAAACAUCAACGAUUAGUUUCAGCCAUCGGGAAAAGAAGUAGUGUAUGUAUGUAGUGUGUUAACGAAGUAGUAAAACGUAGUGUAAAGAAAGUAGUGUAAAAGUAAAGUAGUGUAAAAUUAGUAGUAGUAUGUAAUUCGCACAAAAAAGUAGAUAUUAGUAUUGAUGUUAUUGUAUUCCAUAUUUGACCUUAAAAUAUGAAUAAAAUCUAAUCAGUCUAAGUA